This 419-nucleotide long non-coding RNA is filed under the name Bos taurus (domestic cattle). RNAcentral describes it as "long non-coding RNA NONBTAT018324". The record is from RNAcentral. Lineage: Eukaryota; Metazoa; Chordata; Mammalia; Artiodactyla; Bovidae.
GAUACAUUACUUAUUACAGUAAAAAUUGGCAUUUUCACCUUCAAAAGCAGAAGCACCAGUCUUAGAAUUUAUAGUAUGAAUGGUAUUUUAAGUGAAAUAUAGCAUAAUAUUAUGUGCAAACAUUAUUUUAGUAUAGAACAUACUUUCUAAAAGUAAAGUAAUUUCACACACUGAAAUCUGUUAGAAUGGAAAUAAGGUCAUGCUGAAUAAUGAAAUAAAAACCCCCAUGACUUUCAAAGUCCACUUCGAAUGAAAUAUGGUAUGCUGCCAAAUAGAAGAUACAUGAUAAAUUAAAAAGCUUAACUAGCUCAAAGUGGAGGGACGUCUCACACAAAUAUGACUCGUAUAGAGGUUUCUUUUCACUUAGUCUCAGUGAUUCUGUGAGAAAUUAAAAUGAAUGUUUUAUUUCAGAAUUAAUU